UACGGAAGGCAGCAGUGGGGAAUAUUGCACAAUGGGCGCAAGCCUGAUGCAGCCAUGCCGCGUGUAUGAAGAAGGGCCUUCGGGUUGUAAAGUACUUUCAGUCGUGAGGAAGGUGUUAAGGUUAAUAACCUUAGCAAUUGACGUUAGCGACAGAAGAAGCACCGGCUAACUCCGUGCCAGCAGCCGCGGUAAUACGGAGGGUGCGAGCGUUAAUCGGAAUUACUGGGCGUAAAGGGCACGCAGGCGGUUAAUUAAGUUGGAUGUGAAAUCCCCGGGCUUAACCUGGGAAUGGCAUUCAAGACUGGUUAGCUAGAGUCUUGUAGAGGGGGUAGAAUUCCGAUGUGUAGCGGUGAAAUGCGUAGAGAUGUGGAGGAAUACCGGUGGCGAAGGCGGCCCCUGGACAAAGGACUGACGCUCAUGUGCGAAAGCGUGGGGAGCAAACAGGGAUUAGAUACC
This 456-nucleotide ribosomal RNA is filed under the name uncultured bacterium. RNAcentral's name for it is "bacterial SSU rRNA". It matches the Rfam family "Bacterial small subunit ribosomal RNA", at positions 340 to 786 of the family's 1533-position model. The record is from RNAcentral.